UAACAUUCGCGGUGCUGGUCGCAUUCUACGUUGGAAUCUGCAGAUAAGAUUGCCCCGCUUGCCGCAAUGUCUUCCUUUAUUUUGCCACUCCCUGAUUGGCUGCUUAGCGCUCAAAAAGCGCGUCGCCGAACGAAUAAACGUCAUUGUCUUCCUGGC
Molecule: long non-coding RNA, 156 nt
Filed under: Dermacentor andersoni
Lineage: Eukaryota; Metazoa; Arthropoda; Arachnida; Ixodida; Ixodidae
Description: uncharacterized LOC126526354
Source: RNAcentral